UUUUUUUUCUUUUUUAGGGCCACACCCAAGGCACAUGGAAGUUUCCACACUAGGGGUCAUAUCAGAGCUACAGCUGUCAGCCUACACUACAGUCACAGCAAUGCAGGAUUCAAGACAUGUCUGUGACCUAUACCACAGCUCUCAUCAUGCCAGAUCCCCGACCCCCUGAGCAAGGUCAGGGUUUGAAUCUGCAUCCUCAUGGAUACUAGUCGGAUCUGUUUCCACUGUGCCACAAUGGGAACUCCCCUAAUUUCAUUCUUUUACAUGUACCUGUUCAGUUUUCCCAGAACCACCUGUUGAAGGGACUGUCUUUUUCCCUUUGUAUAUUCUUGCUUACUUUGUCAUAGAUUAGUUGAUUGUAGGUGUGUGGGUUUAAUUCUGGGGUUUCAAUACUCUUCCACUGAUCUAUAUUUCUGUUUUUGUGCCAGUGCCGUAAUGUUUUGGUGACAGUAGUUUUGUAGUGUAGUCUGAAGUCAGGGAGCCUGAUUCCUCCAUCGUCAUUUUUCUUUCUCAGGAUGGCUUUGGCUAUUCUGGGUCUUUUGGGGUUCCACACAAACUUUAAAAUAUUUUGUUCUAGGGAGUUCCCAUUGUGGCUCAGUGGUAAGUAACCCAACUAGUAUCCAUGAGGACUUGGGUUCAAUCUCUGGCCUUGAUCAGGGGGUUAAGGAUCCAGUGUUGCCUCGAGCUGUGGUGUAGGUUUCAGACACAGCUUAGAUCCAACAUUGCUAUGGCUGUGGCAUAGGCCGGCAGCUAUAGCUCUGAUUUGAUCCCUAGCUUGGGAACGUCCAUGUGCCACUGGUGAGGCCCUAAAAAAAAAAAGUUCUAGUUCUGUAAAAAAAUACCUUUGAUAGUUUGAUAGGGAUUGCAUUGAAUCUGUAGAUUGCCUUUGGUAGUAUAGCCAUUUUGAAAAUAUUGAUUCUUCCAAUCCAAGAGCAUGGUAUAUCUUUCCACUGUUUGUAUCAUCCUUGAGUUCCUUCAUCAGCAUCUUAGAGUUUUCAGAGUACAGGUCUUUUUUUCUCCUUAUUCCUUGGUGUUUUUGAUGCAAUGGUAAAGGGGAUUGUUUCCCUAAUUUCUCUUUCUGAUAUUUCAUUGCUAGUAUAUAAAAAUGCAGUCAGUUUCUGUGUAUUAAUUUUGUAUCCUGCUACUUUACCAAAUUCAUUGAUGAGCUCUCAGUUUUCUGGUAGCAUCUUUAGAAUUUUCUAGGUAUAAUAUCAUGUCAUCUGCAAACAGGGAUAGUUUUAUUUUUUCCUUUCCAAUUUGGAUUCCUUUUAUUUCUUUUUCUUCUCUGCCAUGGCUAGGACUUUGAAAACUAUGUUGAAUAGUAGUGGCAAGACAUCCUUGUCUUGUUCCUGAUCUUAGCAGAAUUCUUUCAGCUUUUCACCAUUGAGGAUGAUGUUAGCCAUGGGUUUGUCAUGUAUGGCCUUUAUUACAUUGAGGUAGUUUUCCUCUAUGCUCACUUUCUGGAGGGUUUUUAUCAGAAAGAGGUAUUGGAUUUUGUCAAAAGCUUUUUCCACAUCUAUUGAGAGGAUCAUAAGGUUUUUAUUCUUCAGUUUGUUAAUGUGGUGUAUCACACUGACUGAUUUGCAGAUAUUGAAAAAUCCUUGCAUCUCUGAGAUAAAUCCUGCUUGAUCAUGGUGAACAAUUCUUUUAAUGUAUUGCUGAUUUUUGUUUGCUAGUAUUUUGUUGAUGAUUUUUGCAUCUAUGUUCAUCAGUGACAUUGGCCUGCAAUUUUCUUUUUAUGUGAUAUCAGGGUGAUGGUAUCAGGGUGAUGGUUGCCUCAUAGAAUGAGUUUAGCAGUGUUUCUUCCUCUGCAAUUUUUUGGAAUAGUUUCAGAAAAGUAUAGGUGUUAAUUCUUCUCUAAAUUUUUUAUAGAAUUCACCUGUGAAGCCAUCUAGGCCUGGACUUUUGUUCGUUGAAAGUUUUUUAAUCACAGUUUCAAUUUCAGUACGUGUGAUUGGUCCAUUCAUCUUUUCUAUUUCUUCCUGGUUUAGUCUUGGGAAAAUGUACCUUUCUAAGAAUUUGUCCAUUUUUUCUAGGUUGUCUGUUUUAUUGGCAUAUGGUUUUUUGUAAUAGUCCCUUAUGAUCCUUUGUAUUUCUGUGAUGACCAUUGUAACUUCUUCUUUUUCAUUUAUAAUUUUAUUGAUUGAGUCCUCUUUUUUUCUAGAUGAAGGGCUAAGGAUUUAUCAAUUUUGUUGAUCUUUUCAAAGAACCAGCUUUUAUUUCAUUGAUCUUUUCUAUGGUUUUCUUCAUUUCUGUUUCACUUAUUUCUGCUCUGAUCUUUAUGAUAUCUUUCCUUCUGCUAACUUGGAAUUUUAUCUGUUCUUCUUUCUCUAGUUGCUUUACAUGUAAAGUUAGGUUGUUAAGUUUUUUCUUGUUUCCUGAGGUAGGCUUGUAUUGCUAUAAACCUCCCUCUUACAACUGCUUUUGCUGCAUCCCAUAGGUUUUGGAUUGUUGUGUCUUUAUUAUUAUUUGCUUCUAGGUAUUUUUAAAUUUCCUCUUUGAUUUCUUCUGUGGUCCAUUUGUUGUUUAGUAGCAUGUUGUUUAGUCUCCACAUGUUGGUGUUUUUUGCAGGGUUUUUUUCUUGUUGUUGAUUUCCAAUCAUAUAGCAUUGUGUUGGGAAAAGAUAUUUGAUAUGUUUUCAAUUUUCUUAAAUUUACCGAGGCUUGAUUUGUGAUGCAGAAUGUGAUCUAUCCUAGAGAAUGUUCCAUGUUCACUUGAGAAGAAUGUGUAUUCUGCUGCUUUUGGAUAGAAUGUUCUAUGAAUAUCUUUUAAGUCUAUCUCGUCCAAUGCAUCAUUUAAGGCCUGUGUAUUCUUGUUGAUUUUCUCUCUGAGUGAUCUGUCCAUCGCUGUAAGUGGGGUGUUAAAGCCCCCUACUAUUAUUGUGUUAUUGUCAAUUUCUUCUUUUAAGGUUGUUAGUAGUUGCCUUAUAUAUUGAGUCAAUCCUAUGUUGGGUUCAUAAAUAUUUGCAAUUGUUUUAUCUUCUUCUUGGAUUGAUCCUUUGAUCAUUAUGUAAUGUCCUUCUUUGUCUCUUAUAAUAUUCUUUAUUUUAAGGUCUAUUUUGUCUGAUAGGAAUAUUGCUACAUGAGCUUUCUUUUGAUUACCCUUUGCAUGGAAUAUUUUCUUCCAUCCCCUCACUUUCAAUUUGUAUGUGUCCCUAGAACUGAAGUGGGUCUCUUGAAGACAGCAUAUAUAUGGGUCUUGUGUUUUUUUCUUUUUCCUUUUUGUCUUUUAGGAUGGCACCCAUGGCAUAUGGAGGUUCCCAGGCUAGGGGUCAAAUCAGAGCUGUAGCUGCUGGCCUACACCACAGCCACAGCAAUGCAGGAUCCAAGCCACGUCUGUAACUUACAUCACAGCUCACUGCAAUGCCAGAUCCUUAACCCUCACUCAGGUUAAGGGAUCAAACCUGUAUAUUCAUGGGAUAUUCAGAUUCAUUUAUGCUGAGCCACAAUGGGAAUUCCUGGGUCAUCUUUUUGUAUCCAUUCAGUCAGUCUAUGUAUUUUAGUUGGGGCAUUUAGUCCAUUUACAUUUAAGGUAAUUAUUGAUAUGUAUGUUCUUAUUACCAGUUUAUUCAUUGUUUUAUAUUUAUUUUUGUUGGUCUUUUUUUCUUCCCUUCUUCUCUUGUUCUCUUCUCUUGUGGUUUGAUGACUAUCUUUAGUGUUGUCUUUGGAUUGCUUUUUCUUAUUUGUGUGUGUAUCUACUGUAGAUUUUUGGUUUGCAGUUACCAUGAAGUUUUGAUAUAGGAAUAUAUAUAUACACAAACACACACAAGUUUUUUUUAAAUUGUUGUUCUCUCAAUUGCAAGUACAUCUCCAGUAUCUUGCAUUUGUACCCAUCUCUUCUCAUGAUUUAUGGUCUUGGUAGCAUAUUUGUGAGUGAUUUCCUACCUUUAUUGUAUGUAUGUCUUUAUGACUGAGGCUUGUCAUGUGUAAUAUUUUUGUUUCUAGUUGUGGCUUUUCCUUUUCCAUCUAGAGAAGUUCCUUUAGUAUUUGUUGUAAAGCUGGUUUAGUGGUGCUGAAUUCUCUUAGCUUUUGCUUGUGUGUAAAGCUUUUGGUUUAUCCCUCAAAUCUGAAUAAGAGCCUUGCUGGGUAGAAUAAUCUUGGUUGGAGGUUUUUUCCUUUCAUCACUUUUAAGUAUAUCCUGCUACUCCCUUCUGGCAUGCAGAGUUUCUGCUUAAAAAUAAACCAGUAACCUUAUCAGGGUUACCUUGUAUGUUAUUUUUUUUUCCCUAACUGCUUUCAAUAUUUUCUCCUUGUCUUUAAUUUUGGUCAGUUUGAUUAAUAUGUGUCUUGGGAGGUUCCUCCUUGGGGUUAUUUUUUCUGGUACUCAUUAUGCUUCCUGGAUUUGAGUGAGUGAUUUCUUUCCCAUGUUAAGGAAGUUUUUGGCUAUUGUCUCUUCAAAUAUUUUCUCUGGCCAUCUCUCUUCUCCUUCUGUCAUUCCUCUAAUGCAGAUGUUGGGGCACUUAACAUUGUCCCAGAGCUAUCUUAGAUUGUAUUCAUUUUUUCCAACCUUUUUUCUCUUUUCUUUUCUGCAUCAGUGAUUUCCACUAGUUCAUCUUCAACCUCCCUUAUUCAUUCUUCUGCCUUCUGUAUUCUGCUGUUGCUUCCUUCUAGUGAAUUUUUUUUGUUUCAGUUAUUGUAUUUUGCAUCUCUGCUUCCUUAAUACUUAAACCUUCUCUUUCUUUGCUCAAGUUUUCUUGUAAUUUAUCAGUCUUUGCCUCCAGUUUAUUUCCAAGAUCUUGAAUCACCUUUGCUAUCAUUAGUCUAAAGUCUUUUUCAUGGAGGUUGGUAAUCUCCAGAUCAAUUAGCUGUUUUUCUGUUUCAUUUUUUUUUCUUGUUCUCUUAGCUGAUUCAUAAUUCUCUGCCCUUUCAUUUCGUGUAGGUUUUUGGUGUGGUCUUCUUUUUGCAGACAAUAGGGUUGUAGCCUCUCUUGCUUCUGAUAUCUGCCACCCUUGUGCCUGAAGUUGGUUUGGGGGGUUUGCAGCAGACUUCCUGAUGGGAGGGACUGGUGCCUGCUCACUGGUAGAUGGAGUUGAUUCUUAUCCCUCUAGUGGGUGGGGCUUUGUCUCUGGGUGUGAUUAGAGGUGGCUGUGUGCCUGUUUGCUGAUGGGUGGGGCUGUGAGCCCACCUGGUUUGUUGUUUGGCCUGGGCUUCUAAACUCUGAUGGAUGGGGCCAGGUAUUUCCAAAAUAGCCACCUCUGGAGGAGUACAUGCUGAUGAUUAUUCCUGAGACCUCUGCCUCCAAUGUCCUUCCGCAACAAUGAGCCACAGUCACUCCCUGUUUUACCAGGUUAUCUUUCAAGAACUGUAGUCACAUCUAACCCAGAUUCCUAUGGAGUCUCUGUUUUGCCCUGUGACCCAAUGUGCACAGAAGCCUGUGUGUGCCUUUUAAGAGUAGAGUCUCCAUUUCCCCCAGUCCUGUGGAGCUCAUGCACUCAAGCCCCACUGGCCCUCAAUGCCAAAUGCUCUGGGAGCUCCUCCUCCCAAUGCCAGUGAGGCAGAAUAUUAACUCAGGUAGUCAGUGUAGGAGCAUGGGCUUCAAUACAUUCUUUGAUAUGGCUGUUGAUUAACAUUUGUGGCUUAAGGGCUCCAGGGGGUAGCAUUUCCAAAGGCCUUGUUUUAUUAUAAGAAAUGCGUGUUCCCCACAGACUUUGUUUACUAUAGAAAAUGUGAAUCUCUAGCCCACUCCUCAACUGAUAAAAGAGGAAUCAGAGGAAUGGUAAAAGAAAAGGACUCACACACAAAAAAACCCCACAGAACUUGCAGGACAUUUCCAACCCCAAAAGCCCUAUUGGACAAGGACUAAUAUAGGUAAUUGAAUAAGGCCAAUGGGAGAAGACCACAUCUCUCUGGACCCCACAUUGGUACCCCUCCCCCAACUUUGGGGAAUAAAAACCCGUAUAGGACAGUAGAGAAAGGGGGUGCUCUUCUCCCCCCUCCCAGUAACCCUGGGAUCUAUCUUCUUUCCUUUAAUAAAAACAUUGCUUGCUUGCUGCCUGUGUAUUCACAGAGUUCAUUCUUUGACCACUAUGAACAAGAACCUGGAUUCUAGUACCAUCUUUCUGGCAUCAUCUUUUUGGGGG
This 6079-nucleotide long non-coding RNA is filed under the name Sus scrofa (pig). RNAcentral describes it as "lncRNA (ENSSSCG00060067423.1)". Lineage: Eukaryota; Metazoa; Chordata; Mammalia; Artiodactyla; Suidae. The record is from RNAcentral.